GUAGGUGGCAAGCGUUGUCCGGAAUUAUUGGGCGUAAAGCGCGCGCAGGCGGUCCUUUAAGUCUGAUGUGAAAGCCCACGGCUCAACCGUGGAGGGUCAUUGGAAACUGGGGGACUUGAGUACAGAAGAGGAAAGCGGAAUUCCACGUGUAGCGGUGAAAUGCGUAGAGAUGUGGAGGAACACCAGUGGCGAAGGCGGCUUUCUGGUCUGUAACUGACGCUGAGGCGCGAAAGCGUGGGGAGCAAACAGGGAUUAGAUACCCUGGUAGUCCACGCCGUAAACGAUGAGUGCUAAGUGUUAGGGGUUUCCCGCCCCUUAGUGCUGCAGCUAACGCAUUAAGCACUCCGCCUGGGGAGUACGGCCGCAAGGCUGA
Molecule: ribosomal RNA, 373 nt
Filed under: uncultured organism
Description: partial 16S ribosomal RNA
Rfam family: Bacterial small subunit ribosomal RNA
Source: RNAcentral